AGAGCGAGCGCUGGCGGCAGGCCUAACACAUGCAAGUCGAGCGCCCGUAGCAAUACGGGAGCGGCAGACGGGAUAGUAACACGUGGGAACGCGCCCUUCGGUUCGGAAUAACUCAGGGAAACUUGAGCUAAUACCGAAUACGCCCUUACGGGGAAAGAUUUAUUGCCGAAGGAACGGCCCGCGUCCGAUUAGCUAGUUGGUGAGGUAAUGGCUCACCAAGGCUACGAUCGGUAGCUGGUCUGAGAGGAUGACCAGCAUCACUGGGACUGAGACACGGCCCAGACUCCUACGGGAGGCAGCAGUGGGGAAUAUUGGACAAUGGGCGCAAGCCUGAUCCAGCCAUGCCGCGUGGAUGAUGAAGGCCUUAGGGUUGUAAAGUCCUUUUAACGGGGAAGAUAAUGACGGUACCCGUAGAAUAAGCCCCGGCUAACUUCGUGCCAGCAGCCGC
RNAcentral lists this ribosomal RNA (448 nucleotides) under uncultured bacterium. Its description in RNAcentral is "SSU rRNA". It matches the Rfam family "Bacterial small subunit ribosomal RNA", at positions 26 to 518 of the family's 1533-position model. The record is from RNAcentral.